This 1660-nucleotide long non-coding RNA is filed under the name Vombatus ursinus (common wombat). RNAcentral's name for it is "lncRNA (ENSVURG00010021508.1)". Lineage: Eukaryota; Metazoa; Chordata; Mammalia; Diprotodontia; Vombatidae. The record is from RNAcentral.
ACUCUUUUAAAAUGUAAAUUCCCUAAGAGGAGAUUCAUUCAUUAAAUGGAAUGGGGCUUACAGAUUUCAUGCCCCAGUGUAAAGAUGUGGAGACAGAGACCAGGAAGGACUUUGAAAGGACCAGCCUGGCUUGGCCUACCUCCUUGAGACUUUUUCCUCAAGGCUGCUAGUGUUUCUGAGGGAGCCAAUCAACCAGAUGGAAUCUGGGAUUUACUUUCUCAAGAAACUGGAAGAGAUAGACACCAUGUAUAUGCUUCUAGGCCCAGAAAUGGAGACAAACAGUCCUUCCUCAUUUCCUCCCCCCAUCCACCCAGACACACACACUCAUACACACACACAGUUGCCCUGACAGCAGUUUGCAUUGUGAGGUGUCUCUGGUUACAGGUUAGCCUGAACAGUGUUUUUUUUUUUAUGGAGGAGGGGACAGUGUGGUGGAAAAAGUGGUGACUUCUCUUUUGUCUCCUAUCCCUUCCCCUUUCUUUUCCUCUCCCUUCCUUUUCCCUACCCUUUCUUCCUUCCUCUUCCUUUCCCUUCCCAUUCUUUUCCCUUCUUCCUUUCUCCUCCAUUCCUUUCCCAUCUCUCCCUCCCCUUCUCUCUCCCCACUUCCCCCCUUCCUGUCCUCCCCUUCUCCCUUCUCCUUUCCCCUCCACUUUCUUCUUUUCCUUACCUUUCUCUCCUUUCUUCUUUCCUUCUCCAAAUUCCAACACCAUGGCCAGUGCUUAUCACUGGGAAGCCCGGAGAAGACAGAUGGCUCUAGACCGAAGGAGACACUACCAGCUUCAACAGGAAAUGAAGAACAAAAGGAUAGAGAAUGACCUGGAGGAACAAAGAUACUGCAUGGGGCUCGAACCCUAUCAGCGGUAUCACUCUCCGAGCCCUGAGCGCCAAUACGUGUAUGGCGACGUGAGCCCCGAGACCUCCCACCGGACCCCGGGGGCGUACAUCACUGGAGGAUCUCCAGAAGACUUAAGAGGCGGCUACUUGUUUCCUGAACUCCCGACCCUCGGCCACUGCAUGUGCCAAUGCCAGUGUCACUACCAAGGUCAGGGCCACCAUCAGAGCAGAAGCCACGUCCCGGACGAAGAACAGGACGAGGAGCAGGACGAAGUCCAGGACUUGGGCCAGAGCAACAGUCGGGAGCGGAACCGGGACCGGGACCGGGACCGGGACCGGGACCUAUGCCAGAGCAAGAGCCAGGUCCGGGACCGGGAACAGAGCAAGAGCCAGCGCCACACCAAGAGCCUGGUCCGGGACCGGGAACUGAGCAAGAGCCAGCGCCACACCAAGAGCCUGGUCCGGGACCGGGAACUGAGCAAGAGCCAGCGCCAGAGCAAAGACCCAGGUCAGACUGGACACCAUACUGGUCACCACCAUCACAAAAUUCAUUCCUUGGCUCACCAGCAAGCUGCUCAUCACUCCCAAGAGCCCAAACACAAUGCCCCAGAAACUCUUCGCCAUUCCAAACGUGGAAAGAGAUACACGGCUAUGGAGUAUGUCCAGCAGUGGUAGUAAAGAGAGGACCCAGCCUCAUAUUCAUCAGGAGAUGAGAAGCAAUCAGUAAUCAAUGAAGUUGGCAUCCAAAACUUUCCCUUAACAAAUCUUUUCCCCAACACUGAGGAUAACAGCACGCAUCAAUAAAGAAAUUGUUCUUGGAAUGACA